CCUACGGGAGGCAGCAGUAGGGAAUAGUGCUCAAUGGGGGAAACCCUGAAGCAGCAACGCCGCGUGGAGGAUGAAGGUUUUCGGAGUGUAAACUCCUUUUGUUAGAGAAGAAAAUGACGGUAGCUAACGAAUAAGCAACGGCUAACUCCGUGCCAGCAGCCGCGGUAAUACGGAGGGUUCAAGCGUUCCUCGGAAUCACGGGGCGUAAAGAGCGCGUAGGCGGGAUAGCCAGUCAGAUGUGAAAUCCUAUGGCUUAACCAUAGAACUGCAUUUGAAACUGUUAUUCUAGAGUAUGGGAGAGGUAGGUGGACUUCUUUGUGUAGUGGUCAAAUCCGUAGAGCUCACGCGGACUACUCAUUGCGAAGGCGACCUGCUCGAACAUAACUGCCGCUGCUGCGCGCACGCGU
RNAcentral lists this ribosomal RNA (407 nucleotides) under uncultured bacterium. RNAcentral's name for it is "partial 16S ribosomal RNA". It matches the Rfam family "Bacterial small subunit ribosomal RNA", at positions 338 to 762 of the family's 1533-position model. The record is from RNAcentral.